This 468-nucleotide ribosomal RNA is filed under the name uncultured bacterium. RNAcentral's name for it is "partial 16S ribosomal RNA". It matches the Rfam family "Bacterial small subunit ribosomal RNA", at positions 28 to 507 of the family's 1533-position model. The record is from RNAcentral.
GACGAACGCUGGCGGCGUGCUUAACACAUGCAAGUCGAACGGAAAGGCCCUGCUCUUGCGGGGUGCUCGAGUGGCGAACGGGUGAGUAACACGUGAGUAACCUGCCCCUGACUGUGGGAUAACUUCAGGAAACUGGGGCUAAUACCGGAUAGGAGCUCCUGCUGCACGGUGGGGGUUGGAAAGUUUCGGCGGUUGGGGAUGGACUCGCGGCUUAUCAGCUUGUUGGUGGGGUAGUGGCUUACCACGGCUUUGACGGGUAGCCGGCCUGGGAGGGUGACCGGCCACAUUGGGACUGCGAUACGGCCCAGACUCCUACGGGAGGCAGCGGUGGGGAAUAUUGCGCAAUGGGCGGAAGCCUGAUGCAGCAACGCCGCGUGCGGGAUGACGGCCUUCGGGUUGUGAACCGCUUUCGCCUGUGACGAAGCGUGAGUGACGGUAAUGGGUAAAGAAGCACCGGCUAACUACGUG